GGUUUCAGUUUAAUCCACCCAGAAAAGAAAAACCCUCAUGGUUGUUAGGAAGUUUAAGCCCCAUAGCAACAAAAUCAUACCAUGAAGCUCAAAGUGGGUCAUCCCUCAACUACUAACUAUCAUCUCCAGCCAUACUAAUUAAGGGUCAUAGGAGCUGUAUUUUAACCGAUACAGAGGGCAUCAUGGAGACUGGGGAAAACUAUUCUAAGAACCCCAGGAAGGAUCUGCUUUAGAAGAAUAAAUGGAAAGCAAGUGGAAGGGAACCUCCAGUGAUGAAAAACGUCAAGUUAUCUGCUGUUCAUGAAGUCAUCAGGAAUCAAGCUCAAUUUUUCCUACCUUAUCCUUCUAUCCUUUCUGUUGUUUUUGACAAGACUGUAAGCCUGAGGGCAAGAAAUGUUUUGUUUUAAUUGAUCUAGAAAAGCCUUUUUAGCUUUUCUAGCUGAAAAGCAGAUAUUUCAACUUUAAAUAAAAAAAGCAAUAAAUAUGU
Python bivittatus (Burmese python) is the source of this 487-nucleotide long non-coding RNA. RefSeq lists it as uncharacterized. The record is from RefSeq and is a predicted model, not a curated record. Lineage: Eukaryota; Metazoa; Chordata; Lepidosauria; Squamata; Pythonidae.